CGCAUGUUUUGCUUUUCAGAAUUGAUGCGAUAGAAAACUCAUAAAAUUGCUGCUGAAACAGGAGAGAGGAUGCGGUCGGUAAGAACACAUUUAACAGCCUGUUGGACGCAGAAGUUGAGAGUCAUCAUCAUUCAGUCAAAAUAUCCGUUCUUUCUUGCUUUGGAGGGUUUAAAUAGGUACAAGAAGCGAUAAGGACUAUUAUUGAAUGGGGACUGACAUGCACACUUGGAAGUCAGAGGUCCAGAUGCAGAAAUCUGCAGCGCAUAUUGGGAUGGUCAGUCAUCAGACAGAUUUCACCGAGCUCACUUUCUCCAUGUUCAGCAGUAAAACAGACAUCUGCCCGAAACGCGUCCCUGCUGACGGCUGUGGCUCGAAUCCCGCCUCGAUACAGAUGCGCUGCGGGUCUGGAGAUCUCAAACUCCACGCGCAUCACACCUCCAAACUUCACUGUUUCACCAUGUCACCCGGAGAGGGGUUACACUGCGAAUGUGAGCGAGCCUUACCGGAGACGUUUGCGCUCAUCUGGAGGCUCUGGUUUCUCUUUAGAAUCAGCA
This 554-nucleotide long non-coding RNA is filed under the name Sinocyclocheilus grahami. Its description in RNAcentral is "lncRNA (ENSSGRG00000010549.1)". The record is from RNAcentral. Lineage: Eukaryota; Metazoa; Chordata; Actinopteri; Cypriniformes; Cyprinidae.